Molecule: ribosomal RNA, 563 nt
Filed under: Rhizobium sp.
Lineage: Bacteria; Pseudomonadati; Pseudomonadota; Alphaproteobacteria; Hyphomicrobiales; Rhizobiaceae
Description: bacterial SSU rRNA
Rfam family: Bacterial small subunit ribosomal RNA
Source: RNAcentral
CCGCAUACGCCCUACGGGGGAAAGAUUUAUCGGGGAAGGAUUGGCCCGCGUUGGAUUAGCUAGUUGGUGGGGUAAAGGCCUACCAAGGCGACGAUCCAUAGCUGGUCUGAGAGGAUGAUCAGCCACAUUGGGACUGAGACACGGCCCAAACUCCUACGGGAGGCAGCAGUGGGGAAUAUUGGACAAUGGGCGCAAGCCUGAUCCAGCCAUGCCGCGUGAGUGAUGAAGGCCUUAGGGUUGUAAAGCUCUUUCACCGGAGAAGAUAAUGACGGUAUCCGGAGAAGAAGCCCCGGCUAACUUCGUGCCAGCAGCCGCGGUAAUACGAAGGGGGCUAGCGUUGUUCGGAAUUACUGGGCGUAAAGCGCACGUAGGCGGAUAUUUAAGUCAGGGGUGAAAUCCCAGAGCUCAACUCUGGAACUGCCUUUGAUACUGGGUAUCUUGAGUAUGGAAGAGGUAAGUGGAAUUCCGAGUGUAGAGGUGAAAUUCGUAGAUAUUCGGAGGAACACCAGUGGCGAAGGCGGCUUACUGGUCCAUUACUGACGCUGAGGUGCGAAAGCGUGGGG